Molecule: ribosomal RNA, 253 nt
Filed under: uncultured bacterium
Lineage: Bacteria
Description: partial 16S ribosomal RNA
Rfam family: Bacterial small subunit ribosomal RNA
Source: RNAcentral
UACGUAGGGUGCGAGCGUUGUCCGGAAUUAUUGGGCGUAAAGAGCUCGUAGGCGGUCUGUCGCGUCGAAUGUGAAAACCCGGGGCUCAACUCCGGGCUUGCAUUCGAUACGGGCAGGCUAGAGUUCGGUAGGGGAGUCUGGAAUUCCUGGUGUAGCGGUGAAAUGCGCAGAUAUCAGGAGGAACACCGGUGGCGAAGGCGGGUCUCUGGGCCGAAACUGACGCUGAGGAGCGAAAGCGUGGGGAGCAAACAGG